UUGUAAUGUGAGCAGCCUGGGUGCGUCAGUGCAGGUAAGUGACAUGAAAAUGUUCGCCGUGGAGGGUGAGAGCCCCGUCCAGCCUGCACAGGGCGUGCCGUACAGGGCUGUCUCGAAUGAGUCGGGUAGCUUGGGAAUGCUGCUCUAAGAUCGGUGGUAAAUUUCAUCGAAGGCUAAAUACUGCUGGAAGACCGAUAGUGAACAAGUACCGUGAGGGAAAGAUGAAAAGCACUUUGAAAAGAGGGUGAAAAGAAUCUGAAACCGUUGUGAGGGAAGCGGAUUGCGUUGCAGUAACUGUGGGCGCCGGUGUGUUCAGCCUGUUUCGGCGGGUGUAGUGGCACCGGUGGCUCCGUCUGCUGUGGGUUUGUGGUGGCUGAUUGCAAGGCUGCUGCGGACUGAGGGCUCCGUGCUGCUUUGCGGCGGCACGUGAGGACGGCAGGGUGACGACGCGAUACGACCCGUCUUGAAACACGGACCAAGGAGUCUAGCACAGCUGCGAGUCUGAGGGUGUCAAAGCCUGUGGGCGAAGUGAAAGCGAAAGAUGGCGGUAAUUCCAUAUUUUCAGAAUGACAAAGUUGUUGCAAUUUGGGG
Molecule: ribosomal RNA, 591 nt
Filed under: Asparagopsis taxiformis
Lineage: Eukaryota; Rhodophyta; Florideophyceae; Bonnemaisoniales; Bonnemaisoniaceae
Description: eukaryotic LSU rRNA
Rfam family: Eukaryotic large subunit ribosomal RNA
Source: RNAcentral